This 947-nucleotide ribosomal RNA is filed under the name uncultured bacterium. RNAcentral describes it as "bacterial SSU rRNA". It matches the Rfam family "Bacterial small subunit ribosomal RNA", at positions 1 to 952 of the family's 1533-position model. The record is from RNAcentral.
UAGAGUUUGAUCCUGGCUCAGAUUGAACGCUGGCGGCAGGCUUAACACAUGCAAGUCGAACGAUGAUUUCCCAGCUUGCUGGGAAUGAUUAGUGGCGGACGGGUGAGUAACAUUUAGGAAUCUGCCUAGUAGUGGGGGAUAGCUCGGGGAAACUCGAAUUAAUACCGCAUACGACCUACGGGUGAAAGGGGGCGCAAGCUCUUGCUGUUAGAUGAGCCUAAAUCAGAUUAGCUAGUUGGUGGGGUAAAGGCCCACCAAGGCGACGAUCUGUAACUGGUCUGAGAGGAUGAUCAGUCACACCGGAACUGAGACACGGUCCGGACUCCUACGGGAGGCAGCAGUGGGGAAUAUUGGACAAUGGGGGCAACCCUGAUCCAGCCAUGCCGCGUGUGUGAAGAAGGCCUUUUGGUUGUAAAGCACUUUAAGCAGGGAGGGGAGGCUAAUGGUUAAUACCCAUUAGAUUAGACGUUACCUGCAGAAUAAGCACCGGCUAACUCUGUGCCAGCAGCCGCGGUAAUACAGAGGGUGCGAGCGUUAAUCGGAAUUACUGGGCGUAAAGCGAGUGUAGGUGGCUCAUUAAGUCACAUGUGAAAUCCCCGGGCUUAACCUGGGAACUGCAUGUGAUACUGGUGGUGCUAGAAUAUGUGAGAGGGAAGUAGAAUUCCAGGUGUAGCGGUGAAAUGCGUAGAGAUCUGGAGGAAUACCGAUGGCGAAGGCAGCUUCCUGGCAUAAUAUUGACACUGAGAUUCGAAAGCGUGGGUAGCAAACAGGAUUAGAUACCCUGGUAGUCCACGCCGUAAACGAUGUCUACUAGCCGUUGGGGUCCUUGAGACUUUAGUGGCGCAGUUAACGCGAUAAGUAGACCGCCUGGGGAGUACGGCCGCAAGGUUAAAACUCAAAUGAAUUGACGGGGGCCCGCACAAGCGGUGGAGCAUGUGGUUUAAUUC